AUUGAACGCUGGCGGCAUGCCUUACACAUGCAAGUCGAACGGUAACGGGCCUUCGGGUGCCGACGAGUGGCGCACGGGUGAGUAAUACAUCGGAACGUGCCCGAUCGUGGGGGAUAACGAGGCGAAAGCUUUGCUAAUACCGCAUACGAUCUACGGAUGAAAGCAGGGGACCGCAAGGCCUUGCGCGGACGGAGCGGCCGAUGGCAGAUUAGGUAGUUGGUGGGAUAAAAGCUUGCCAAGCCGACGAUCUGUAGCUGGUCUGAGAGGAUGAUCAGCCACACUGGGACUGAGACACGGCCCAGACUCCUACGGGAGGCAGCAGUGGGGAAUGUUGGACAAUGGGCGCAAGCCUGAUCCAGCCAUGCCGCGUGCAGGAUGAAGGCCUUCGGGUUGUAAACUGCUUUUGUACGGAACGAAAAGCCUUCUUUUAAUACAGGAGGGUCAUGACGGUACCGUAAGAAUAAGCACCGGCUAACUACGUG
Molecule: ribosomal RNA, 482 nt
Filed under: uncultured bacterium
Lineage: Bacteria
Description: partial 16S ribosomal RNA
Rfam family: Bacterial small subunit ribosomal RNA
Source: RNAcentral